AAGGAUUAUUAUUGAAGCAACUUUCAAUCUAUUUCAAAUCCAUUUUUUGAAUUAAGGAAGGAUGAAUUUGGCUUUACCUUUUAACCACAGGGUUCUGAGAAUCCCCAGGCGAAUCUGCCUUCUUUGCUUCUUCCCACACAGACUCAGAAAUCUUAAAUAUGAAUAGACUUUCUGGCCUGUAUUAAACAUUUUGGCCUGUGUUGGGGCAAAUGGAGAUAUUGGGAUCCUGUUGGACACAGCAAAAAAUGGAGCAGAAACCCAAACUACCUAACUUUGGAAACAGUGUCAAGAGUCUAGAGCAAGGACUAGAGUGAACAAAUGUAAAAGCAGAAAUUAAAUUUAGAUCCCUAGAACUUUUAGAAUAUUAAGGUAGUAUAGAGUUGUAAUGAUUGUCUGGUCCAAUCCAUUUUGGUGAGAUGACUUCCACAAAGUCACAAAAUUGCCACUGGCCAAACAGAUGUUGAAAUUUUGUUCUCUUGAGCUAUUCCUUGAACUUUUCUUCCCUUAGCAUCUGAUUCAGAAACCCUGGGCACGGGGUCUGGCUCUCUUGUUAACCACAUCUGUGAUCUUGUGCAAAUCACUGAUUGUCACUGAAACUCAUUUUCCCCAUCUGAAAAAUGGGGAUAAUAAUACCUUUCAGAUUGUUGUUGAUUAAAUGGAUUUGGAAGCCCUGUGUAGAAGUAAAGCACAUGGAGAUGUUAUUAAAGCUGUGGAAUCAAGCUAAGUCUAGUUGGAUGUACUCAUAUUCUUUAGGAAAUUUCAUGCUAGAUCUCCACUUGACUUCUUCCAGAACACUAUGGGUGUGAAUCUGAAGUCCAUUAAUAUGUCACACAAUAAGAGGUGGUGAGGUGGUCAGCCAUUAUUACCUCAGUAACAUCAUCUCCAAGGGCCCACUUUUGAUCUGGAAGGAAAAUGACUCUUGGAAGUUGCUGCAAGUAUUAUCAAGGACAUUUGUUAAAGAAGAAAGCCACAAAGACAUGUAGAUUACUGAAUGUAGAAAGCAAUGGAAUAGCUCGGAUCAUCAAGACGUUGCCAGUUUAUACAUCCUGUGCAAGAUGUGUGGGGCUGAGACAACUGUCAAAAGGAGGGACCGAUUUCUUCUCCCUGGCAUCUGUAGCAGCUUGUCAGCCAUGA
Molecule: long non-coding RNA, 1134 nt
Filed under: Vulpes vulpes (red fox)
Lineage: Eukaryota; Metazoa; Chordata; Mammalia; Carnivora; Canidae
Description: lncRNA (ENSVVUG00000005636.1)
Source: RNAcentral